RNAcentral lists this ribosomal RNA (512 nucleotides) under uncultured bacterium. RNAcentral describes it as "partial 16S ribosomal RNA". It matches the Rfam family "Bacterial small subunit ribosomal RNA", at positions 28 to 523 of the family's 1533-position model. The record is from RNAcentral.
GACGAACGCUGGCGGCGUGCCUAAUACAUGCAAGUCGAGCGAAUCAAUAGGAGCUUGCUCCUGUUGGUUAGCGGCGGACGGGUGAGUAACACGUGGGCAACCUGCCUGUAAGACUGGAAUAACUUCGGGAAACCGGAGCUAAUACCGGAUAAUCCUUUUCCACUCAUGUGGGAAAGCUGAAAGUCGGUUUCGGCUGACACUUACAGAUGGGCCCGCGGCGCAUUAGCUAGUUGGUGAGGUAACGGCUCACCAAGGCGACGAUGCGUAGCCGACCUGAGAGGGUGAUCGGCCACACUGGGACUGAGACACGGCCCAGACUCCUACGGGAGGCAGCAGUAGGGAAUCUUCCGCAAUGGACGAAAGUCUGACGGAGCAACGCCGCGUGAGCGAUGAAGGCCUUCGGGUCGUAAAGCUCUGUUGUUAGGGAAGAAUAAGUAUCGGAGUAACUGCCGGUACCUUGACGGUACCUAACCAGAAAGCCACGGCUAACUACGUGCCAGCAGCCGCCGUAA